Molecule: long non-coding RNA, 273 nt
Organism: Saccostrea cuccullata (small rock oyster)
Lineage: Eukaryota; Metazoa; Mollusca; Bivalvia; Ostreida; Ostreidae
Exons: 2
Source: RefSeq, a predicted model, not a curated record
UUCGAUCGAGUAUCAACAGCUUCAUAGUCUGCAUUUGAAUCUCCUCGUAUUUCACGAUCAGGAUUAGCAUAAAACUGAAGAAGAAGAAAAGGAGUAGGAGAAAGAAGACAAUAUACCUCUUACGGACGAUGAUAAUUGUCGAAAAAAUUCCAACAGUUAGGAAGACACCCAAGACAAUGAAUAACAUUUUUUCACCAAUUGGAACCGUUCUACCUGUUUCAGCUUUGUCCACAAAACAAAUAUUUUUUAGUCAAUAAAUAUGCAGAAAAGUAA